Aspergillus niger is the source of this 87-nucleotide transfer RNA. It matches the Rfam family "tRNA". From Rfam's summary of the family: Transfer RNA (tRNA) molecules are approximately 80 nucleotides in length. NCBI's taxonomy places the organism in Eukaryota, Fungi, Ascomycota, Eurotiomycetes, Eurotiales, Aspergillaceae. The record is from Rfam.
GACCAAUUGGCCUAGUGGUUAUGGCGUCUGUCUUACAUAAGCAAGUGUGAGCACAGAAGGUCGCAGGUUCGAUCCCUGCAUUGGUCA